GCUAUAUUUAUGAAGCAAUGGAUAGAGCCAAAGAAACUAUUGAACAGGGUUUUCGUGGAGUUAAGAAGCAAUAUGAGUAAGUGUUUGAAAUUAUUGAUGCAAGGUGGUCAGACCAACUCCAUCGGCCUUUGCAUGCUGCAGGCCAUGUUUUGAACCCAAGAUUGUAUUAUAAAGCUCAAGAAGAGGGAACUUUACUAAAGACUCUGUGGAAUGAGUAUUAUUCAUGUGUUGAGAAGAUGAUCCCCGAUACAACAAUACAAGAUUUACUAGUCGCUGAGCUUCCUAGGUACAAAAUGGCGAAUGGACUAUUUGGUUGUGGUCCGGCUAAAAGAGCUAGAGACACAAGGUCACCGGUGGAAUGGUGGUCACUAUUUGGUAGUGAAACACCAAACUUGCAAAAGUUUGCCAUGAAAGUAUUAAGCCUAACUUGUAGCUCAUCCGGAUGUGAGCGAAAUUGGAGUGUGUUUGAACACGUAAGUAAAAAAAUUAUAUCCUAAUUUCCAUAUUAUA
Molecule: long non-coding RNA, 510 nt
Organism: Solanum tuberosum (potato)
Lineage: Eukaryota; Viridiplantae; Streptophyta; Magnoliopsida; Solanales; Solanaceae
Exons: 3
Source: RefSeq, a predicted model, not a curated record